RNAcentral lists this ribosomal RNA (699 nucleotides) under Escherichia coli. RNAcentral describes it as "partial 23S ribosomal RNA". It matches the Rfam family "Bacterial large subunit ribosomal RNA", at positions 612 to 1310 of the family's 2925-position model. Lineage: Bacteria; Pseudomonadati; Pseudomonadota; Gammaproteobacteria; Enterobacterales; Enterobacteriaceae. The record is from RNAcentral.
AUAAUGGGUCAGCGACUUAUAUUCUGUAGCAAGGUUAACCGAAUAGGGGAGCCGAAGGGAAACCGAGUCUUAACUGGGCGUUAAGUUGCAGGGUAUAGACCCGAAACCCGGUGAUCUAGCCAUGGGCAGGUUGAAGGUUGGGUAACACUAACUGGAGGACCGAACCGACUAAUGUUGAAAAAUUAGCGGAUGACUUGUGGCUGGGGGUGAAAGGCCAAUCAAACCGGGAGAUAGCUGGUUCUCCCCGAAAGCUAUUUAGGUAGCGCCUCGUGAAUUCAUCUCCGGGGGUAGAGCACUGUUUCGGCAAGGGGGUCAUCCCGACUUACCAACCCGAUGCAAACUGCGAAUACCGGAGAAUGUUAUCACGGGAGACACACGGCGGGUGCUAACGUCCGUCGUGAAGAGGGAAACAACCCAGACCGCCAGCUAAGGUCCCAAAGUCAUGGUUAAGUGGGAAACGAUGUGGGAAGGCCCAGACAGCCAGGAUGUUGGCUUAGAAGCAGCCAUCAUUUAAAGAAAGCGUAAUAGCUCACUGGUCGAGUCGGCCUGCGCGGAAGAUGUAACGGGGCUAAACCAUGCACCGAAGCUGCGGCAGCGACGCUUAUGCGUUGUUGGGUAGGGGAGCGUUCUGUAAGCCUGCGAAGGUGUGCUGUGAGGCAUGCUGGAGGUAUCAGAAGUGCGAAUGCUGACAUAAGUAAC